This 253-nucleotide ribosomal RNA is filed under the name uncultured prokaryote. Its description in RNAcentral is "partial 16S ribosomal RNA". It matches the Rfam family "Bacterial small subunit ribosomal RNA", at positions 525 to 777 of the family's 1533-position model. The record is from RNAcentral.
ACGUGGGGGGCCAGCGUUGCUCGGAAUUACUGGGUGUAAAGGGUUCGUAGGCGGUGUGGCAAGUCGGGAGUGAAAUCUCUGGGCUUGACCCAGAGACUGCUUCCGAAACUGCUGUGCUUGAGUGUGGGAGAGGCGCGUGGAAUUGCAGGUGUAGCGGUGAAAUGCGUAGAUAUCUGCAGGAACACCCGUGGCGAAAGCGGCGCGCUGGACCACUACUGACGCUGAGGAACGAAAGCUAGGGGAGCAAACAGGA